This 731-nucleotide long non-coding RNA is filed under the name Homo sapiens (human). RNAcentral's name for it is "HSALNT0127249". The record is from RNAcentral. Lineage: Eukaryota; Metazoa; Chordata; Mammalia; Primates; Hominidae.
AGGCAACCCAUCCCAGGGAGAGAUCAGAGCUCUGUCCAUAGAAUAUGGGCAGGCGGUGAUGGGUAGAGGUCUCAGCUUGGGAGGUCCCACCCAGUGAGGAGAAAUGUCUCAGACAGGCUCCAUUCUGUUGCUGGUGGCUGGCUGGCUGGAAAUUCAAGCCAAUGGGUAUUAUCUUGUGAGGUGCUGUGGAAGUGGGGCCUGCAGACCAAGGCUGCUCUGCCCUCUGGAUUCAGUCCCCUUGCUAGUGUCAUUUCUUUAUAGCUGCAUUGUCUGUGAAGCUGAGUCUACUUAACUGACUUGUGCACACACCAUACUGAAAGAGAUGCCAGCAUACAAGAACUAAAGAGCCUGUCUUUGAAUGUUCAUGACAAAACAAAAGUAGCAAGAAAGCAACAUCAGCAGAACAUACAAAAGUAGCAAAAAAUAAUUGCCAAUCAUUCUGUAACCUUAAAAAAAAUUUACUCAUUGAAAAUAAAAUGAAAAUUCAUCCUUAAAGUUGGCAUAAAAAACAGUGCUAAAAUUUAGUUCCCCAUUGGAAUGAAUGCUUUCUCGACAGGGUAACAAAUGAAAAUUGGAUCAGGGACACAUUUUCAGUGAAAAAGACGCACUGCCAGAUGGCUUCUUGGCAAAGGAAAAGGAAGAGUUGAUUAAACCGUCAUGUGACGACUUCAAAUUCAGCUAAGUACAGCUUAGCAACUUUUUGUUGAGAAGGAGAAAGGAGGAUAUUCAGG